RNAcentral lists this ribosomal RNA (441 nucleotides) under Bacillus sp. BY. Its description in RNAcentral is "bacterial SSU rRNA". It matches the Rfam family "Bacterial small subunit ribosomal RNA", at positions 1036 to 1481 of the family's 1533-position model. The record is from RNAcentral. Lineage: Bacteria; Bacillati; Bacillota; Bacilli; Caryophanales; Bacillaceae.
UGUGGUGCAUGGUUGUUGUCAGCUGUGUUGUGAGAUGUUGGGUUAAGUCCCGCAGCGAGCGCAACCCGUUAUUUUAGUCGCCAGCAUUUAGUUGGGCACUAUAAGGUGACUGCCGGUGACAAACCGGAGGAAGGUGGGGAUGAUGUCAAAUUAUCAUGCCCUUUAUGACCUGGGCUACACACGUGCUACAAUGGGUGGUACAAAGGGCAGCAAAACCGCGAGGUAGACCCAAUCCCAUAAACCCACUCUCAGUUCGGAUUGUAGGGUGCAACUCGCCUACAUGAAGCUGGAAUCGAUAGUAAUCGGGGAUCAGCAUGCCGCGGAGAAUACGUUCCCGGGCCUUGUACACACCGCCUGUCACACCACGAGAGUUUGUAACACCAGAAGUCGGUGGGGUAACCGUAAGGAGCCAGCCGCCUAAGGUGGACAGAUGAUGGGGGG